This is a non-coding RNA of Acanthosepion pharaonis, 105 nucleotides long. Lineage: Eukaryota; Metazoa; Mollusca; Cephalopoda; Sepiida; Sepiidae. The record is from the annotation of a GenBank genome assembly.
CGGACAAAUCACCUUGAAACACGGGUACGAUCACCGAAGUUAAGCAACGUCGACCUUGGUCAGUACCUAGAUGGGUGACCACUUGGAAAUACCAGGUGGUGUAAG